RNAcentral lists this ribosomal RNA (253 nucleotides) under uncultured bacterium. RNAcentral's name for it is "partial 16S ribosomal RNA". It matches the Rfam family "Bacterial small subunit ribosomal RNA", at positions 524 to 776 of the family's 1533-position model. The record is from RNAcentral.
UACAGAGUUGGCAAGCCCUGGUCGGAAUUACUGGGCGUAAAGGGCGCGUAGGCGGCCCGAAAAGUCCCGCGUGAAAUCCCCCGGCUCAACUGGGGAACUGCGCGGGAAACUGCCGGGCUGGAGUUCGGGAGAGGGAAGCGGAAUUCCGGGUGUAGCGGUGAAAUGCGUAGAUAUCCGGAGGAACACCGGUGGCGAAGGCGGCUUCCUGGACGGACACUGACGCUGAGGCGCGAAAGGUAGGGGAGCAAGCGGG